Plodia interpunctella (Indianmeal moth) is the source of this 369-nucleotide long non-coding RNA. RefSeq lists it as uncharacterized. The transcript has 5 exons. The record is from RefSeq and is a predicted model, not a curated record. NCBI's taxonomy places the organism in Eukaryota, Metazoa, Arthropoda, Insecta, Lepidoptera, Pyralidae.
UUUAAAAUUAACAUUGAAAGGAGUUAACAUAAUAAUAUGCGAUCAUCUUAUUAACGUGUUUUAACUUACAUGCAAAUAUUUUAGUUACGUUUUCUGUUACAGAUAUGUACCGAUGACUUCAGUAACUGUAAAUAGGUUAUCUGAAGAAGCUGCAUCAGAAUGAAUUAUGACAAUAAAAAGGAUGCCAAUGUUUCCUGUGGAGGGCUGUGAUGCCUGUGGUUUCGAUGACAUUUAUGGAUCUCCCGUGGACAAAGAGAGUGUUGCUACUUUUACUUCGGUACCAAAGGCGAGCGACAAAAAGAACGAUUCGAUUUAGUUAUUUUGUCAAAUGUGAUAACAUUAUUUUUUAAUAAAAUUUUAUACAUUUUA